This 776-nucleotide ribosomal RNA is filed under the name uncultured bacterium. Its description in RNAcentral is "bacterial SSU rRNA". It matches the Rfam family "Bacterial small subunit ribosomal RNA", at positions 1 to 786 of the family's 1533-position model. The record is from RNAcentral.
AAUUCGAUUAGUUUGAUCAUGGCUCAGGAUGAACGCUAGCGGCGGGCCUAAUACAUGCAAGUCGAGCGGUUUGUUUACAGACGAGCGGCGCACGGGUGCGUAACGCGUAUGCAACCUGCCCUUCACUGUGGGAUAGCCCUGCGAAAGCGGGAUUAAUACCACAUGGUUCACAGUUGUCACCUGGCAUAUGUGAUAAAGAUUUAUCGGUGAGGGAUGGGCAUGCGUGCCAUUAGCUAGUUGGUGAGGUAACGGCUCACCAAGGCUACGAUGGCUAGGGGGCCUGAGAGGGUGGUCCCCCACACUGGUACUGAGACACGGACCAGACUCCUACGGGAGGCAGCAGUAGGGAAUAUUGGUCAAUGGGCGCAAGCCUGAACCAGCCACGCCGCGUGCGGGAGGAAGGCCCUAUGGGUCGUAAACCGCUUUUGACGGGGAAGAACGGCUUUAGUUUUUAGAGUGUGACGGUACCCGCAGAAUAAGGAUCGGCUAACUCCGUGCCAGCAGCCGCGGUAAUACGGAGGAUCCGAGCGUUGUCCGGAUUUAUUGGGUUUAAAGGGUGCGUAGGCUGACUUUUAAGUCGGCGGUGAAAGCGCGGCGCUCAACGUCGCAACUGCCGCCGAUACUGGGGGUCUUGAGUGCGGAUGAGGUGGGCGGAAUGUGCAGUGUAGCGGUGAAAUGCUCAGGUAUUGCACAGAACGCCGAUUGCGAAGGCAGCUCACCAAGGCGCAACUGACGCUGAGGCACGAAAGCGUGGGGAUCAAACAGGAUUAGAUACC